Molecule: ribosomal RNA, 526 nt
Filed under: uncultured bacterium
Lineage: Bacteria
Description: bacterial SSU rRNA
Rfam family: Bacterial small subunit ribosomal RNA
Source: RNAcentral
AAUAGAUACCCGGGUAGUCCACGCCGUAAACGAUGAGUGCUAAGUGUUAGAGAGUUUCCGCCCUUUAGUGCUGCAGCUAACGCAUUAAGCACUCCGCCUGGGGAGUACGGCCGCAAGGCUGAAACUCAAAGGAAUUGACGGGGGCCCGCACAAGCGGUGGAGCAUGUGGUUUAAUUCGAAGCAACGCGAAGAACCUUACCAGGUCUUGACAUCCUCUGACAACCCUAGAGAUAGGGCUUUCCCCUUCGGGGGACAGAGUGACAGGUGGUGCAUGGUUGUCGUCAGCUCGUGUCGUGAGAUGUUGGGUUAAGUCCUGCAACGAGCGCAACCCUUGAUCUUAGUUGCCAGCAUUCAGUUGGGCACUCUAAGGUGACUGCCGGUGACAAACCGGAGGAAGGUGGGGAUGGACGUCAAAUCAUCAUGCCCCUUAUGACCUGGGCUACACACGUGCUACAAUGGAUGGUACAAAGGGCUGCAAACCUGCGAAGGUAAGCGAAUCCAUAAAGCCAUUCUCAGUUCGGAUUGC